This 412-nucleotide ribosomal RNA is filed under the name uncultured bacterium. RNAcentral's name for it is "bacterial SSU rRNA". It matches the Rfam family "Bacterial small subunit ribosomal RNA", at positions 505 to 916 of the family's 1533-position model. The record is from RNAcentral.
GUGCCAGCCGCCGCGGUAAUACGUAGGGGGCGAGCGUUGUCCGGAAUCACUGGGCGUAAAGGGCGCGUAGGUGGUUGUCUGUGUCUCAUGUGAAAACUCAGGGCUCAACUCUGAGAUGGCGUGGGAAACUAGGCAGCUAGAGGACGGUAGAGGGGAGUGGAAUUCCCGGUGUAGCGAUAAAAUGCGUAGAUAUCGGGAGGAACACCAGUGGCGAAGGCGGCUUUCUGGCCUGUAACUGACGCUGAGGCGCGAAAGCUGGGGGAGCGAACCGGAUUAGAUACCCUGGUAGUCCCAGCCGUAAACGAUGGGUACUAGGUGUUGGGGUUGACAUGACCUCAGUGCCGGAGUUAACGCGAUAAGUACCCCGCCUGGGGAGUACGGCCGCAAGGUUGAAACUUAAAGGAAUUGGCGG